AACGAACGCUGGCAGCGUGGAUUAGGCAUGCAAGUCGAACGGGAUCCGGAAGGUAGCAAUACCGGCCGGUGAGAGUGGCGGAAGGGCGAGGAGCACGUGGACAACCUGUCCCGUGGGUGGGGAUACCGUCCCGAAAGGGGCGUUAAUACCGAAUGGGGCCCCGGACCGCAUGGUCCGGCGGCCAAAGGCGGGGACCGCAAGGCCCGCCCCCCCGGGAGGGGUCCGCGCACCAUCAGCUAGACGGCGGGGUAACGGCCCACCGUGGCUUACGGUUAGCUGGUCUGAGAGGACGACCGGCCGCACUGGGACUGAGACACUGCCCAGGCUCCUACGGGAGGCUGCAGUCGAGGAUCAUUCGCAAUGGGCGAAAGCCUGACGAUGCGACGCUGCGUGGAGGAUGAAGGCCCUCGGGUCGUAAACUCCUGUCAUGGGGGGCGAGGCGGAGGCGGUUAACGGCCGCCCGAGUUGACGGUACCCCAAGAGGAAGCCACGGCUAACUCUGUG
Molecule: ribosomal RNA, 504 nt
Filed under: uncultured bacterium
Lineage: Bacteria
Description: partial 16S ribosomal RNA
Rfam family: Bacterial small subunit ribosomal RNA
Source: RNAcentral